Molecule: long non-coding RNA, 470 nt
Filed under: Numida meleagris (helmeted guineafowl)
Lineage: Eukaryota; Metazoa; Chordata; Aves; Galliformes; Numididae
Description: lncRNA (ENSNMEG00000021220.1)
Source: RNAcentral
AUUUUAAGUUUUAGAUUACAAGUUCCUCUCAAAAUUUUCAUAUUCAAAUUUGUUAAACAUCUUUUUUUUAAUUUCUGUUUUUCAGAGAAUAGUGGAAAUACGAUCCUCAGCUGUACGAUUUUGCAGCCAUGCUAUGCACCUGGAAAAACUGCCCUUCACACUAGAGUAUCUGUAACGUGCACCUUGAAAGAUACCGCAAGAGUAAAAGGGAUGGGAUCCUUCCUCUUCCUUCACUGUCCUCUUAAUCACAAGGGAUCAGUGUGUCCCAUGGGAUCAAAGGAAGGUGAAACUUUUGUGAUCACGAGGUGAGAACAGAAAUGAAACUCACGGAGGAGGUUAUGGGAUGUGCACUGGGGAGAACAAACUGACAGGCAUCCUACGGAUAAACAUGAGCUUCUUCAGCUGAUGUGAUGGAAAAGACAAAGCUCACCUGGUCUUUUAAAUCAGGCAAACUAUUAAAAAGAUUCUAG